GUUGCUCUCCACUUCUGGCAAGCGCUUUCAACUUUUUCUAAGGGAUUUUCUUGCGGUUCCUCUCUUAUUGGUCUUUGGGAAGGAACAAUCCCUUCCAUGCCGUUGUCUUCUUCCACCUACGGCAGGAAGAGGUGUAUUCCUGCUUAUGUAAACGAGAGCUUUCUAGAAGAGAUAAUGGUUAUGAACACUGGCCCUUAACCAAGAAACAGAAGUUGAAUGAACUGCGGGAAGAUAAACUUCACUUUGCUGUGAUUUCAGAACUGAUAUCAGCAGGCAGUUGUCUAAAAACUAUAUUUGUUUUCCUAAUCUGCUACUUUUCACGACAAUUAUAUUUG
This 335-nucleotide long non-coding RNA is filed under the name Equus caballus (horse). RNAcentral describes it as "lncRNA (ENSECAG00000039676.3)". The record is from RNAcentral. Lineage: Eukaryota; Metazoa; Chordata; Mammalia; Perissodactyla; Equidae.